UACGUAGGGGGCAAGCGUUGUCCGGAUUCAUUGGGCGUAAAGAGCGUGUAGGCGGCCAGGUAGGUCGGUUGUGAAAACUGGAGGCUCAACCUUCAGAGGUCGACCGAAACCAUCUGGCUAGAGUCCGGGAGAGGAGAGUGGAAUUCCUGGUGUAGCGGUGAAAUGCGCAGAUAUCAGGAAGAACACCCGUGGCGAAAGCGGCUCUCUGGAACGGUACUG
RNAcentral lists this ribosomal RNA (219 nucleotides) under uncultured bacterium. RNAcentral's name for it is "partial 16S ribosomal RNA". It matches the Rfam family "Bacterial small subunit ribosomal RNA", at positions 524 to 742 of the family's 1533-position model. The record is from RNAcentral.